Trifolium pratense (red clover) is the source of this 633-nucleotide long non-coding RNA. RefSeq lists it as uncharacterized. The transcript has 3 exons. Lineage: Eukaryota; Viridiplantae; Streptophyta; Magnoliopsida; Fabales; Fabaceae. The record is from RefSeq and is a predicted model, not a curated record.
GCUCAAUCCUUUUCCUGGAAUGAAGAACCAUCUUGUUGUGGAUGGCGGCACAGCUUUGUUCUGCUUGCCGAUAUUGUCUUAUGUAGAGAAUUUGAGUGACAUUGCUGCUGCAUAUAAUCAUUAUUAAGCAUAAGGUUUAGCUUCUCGAGCUUAAAUUUCUUGAUUUUACAGGGGAUGUUGAUUUUAGAAUCUUGGAUAACAUAAACAGAGUUAAGCAAAGAGGGCUUCCAGAUGGUUUUAACGAUGCUCUAGAGUCAGAAACUCGGAUACAUGUAUGUGACAUUAACCCUAACAUGUUGAAUGUUGGCAAACAGCGGGCUGCGGCAAAGGGAGAAGAUGGUUCCCUUGUUUGGGUGGAGGGAAAUGCUGAAAGCUUGAGUUUCCAAAAUGAUUCAAUGGAUGGUUACACUAUUGCAUUUAGGAUAAGGAAUGUUACACACAUUGAGAAAGUUCUUAGUGAAGCUCAUAGGAAAAUUUUGCAUCAAUGAUUGCCGAUGCAGGGUUUCAAAAAGUAGAGUAUGAGUUAUCUUUUCCCAAGAUUUGAUAUUGUUUUUCAGAUGGGGAUAUUUAACUGUAAUAAGAAGAGUAGUUGUAUUUAUAAAUUUUUAUCAGAAAGUAGAGUUUUAUACAGAA